GAGGAGGUACCCACAUUUUCUGCCUUCUCUGCCUCAAUCAAUAUUGGAGUUUCUAAAGUAUGAUGUUCAUGUGCAACCAGUUCCGGUCCAUGGGGCGGUAACAAGCUAUUCAAAAAGCUGUGUUCAAUACAAUAAGUAUUUUCUGUCUCUACCAAAUUGUCAAUGGGUACUUCAAAUCGCCUCGCUAAGCGAGUGAUUGUAGAUAGAAAAUACAAGCAUUUACGGUCCUUGAAACAACAUUUUAUGGGCAAAUGCUGUUGAAUAGCAUAUCAGAGCAUGACCUUUUUCUUAUCAUAAUUAGAUACAUUAACAUAAGGAUCAGACGUGAACUUACAAACUUACCCCAAGUGCGUGCCGUUUCUAACAUACAUGAACAAGCAAUAUUCAAAGGUUUGCCCCUUGUCCCUGAAUUAACUUUUACUCCAUUGGGACAAAUAAAUUUCGCAGCUUCUUUCAUGAAGUUGAAAUUUUUAGCUUUCAUCUUAACUCUAAUUUCUUCAUCAUCAACAUCACUCAAAGAAUAUAAUUCAUUCAAAACCUUAGAGUUAAAAUUAAUAACCUUACCUCGCACUGUUGCUGUCAAGGUACUCGUAGAAUUCAAGCACAAUUUCUUUAACAUAACCCCUUGGAUUUUUCACGAAGGAUUCCCGCCGGAGAGAUCUGAUGUUCUUCAAAAUUUCACAUACCUUUUCGGCUUUUCUCCAUCAGUUGGCAAAAAAUUCAUUCCACAUUCUUCCACUAUAGUUCGAGUUAUUCCAGAGAAUAUCUCAAGUGCCAGUUCAAUGUGUUGUUUCUUAGAAACCUUACAAGAACUACAUCCUGAAAGGGUUCUCUUUAAUGAGAUCAUUUUUUUUCUUGAGGGUUUGAGAAGGAGAACUAGAAGAUUGAAAGGAAAUCUAUGACAAAGAGUUAGAAAAUAGAAAAAAGGGAAAAGAAAUUUACUACUGGUUGGCGGCCAUGGCUGAGGAAUGUUGGUGUAGAAGGGUGGUGGGCGGUGGCUUUUUGGUGGUGGUAGGUGAAAGCAACAGGGUAAAAGGUUCAAAUUGGAUGUGGGGUUUGCUUGUUUUGUUUCUUUGGGAAUGCUACGUUAGGUAAAACUUAUUUAAAGCAGAUUUUUUCCCUUUUUUCUUAUUUUAUUUACAAAACUAUUCCAUAACAUGUCUUAAAUCACAACGUGGCUUUCAUAAUCAUUUUUUAAGUUGUAACAUGUUAUGGCUGAUAUUUGAUUAGUUAAAAUAUCUUCUUCUUUUCUUUUUUUUUUAUAAAACAUAUACUAAGAUUAUAAUACUUAUGUAUAGUAGUAAACUUAUACAUAUUUGCUACAUUAGUCCAAUAGUAGUAUAUAAUAAUUUUCUUUUUAACUAACUUAAAAUGUGUAAGACGUACUACUAAUAGUUGAUAAUAACUAUCUACAUAUUAUUAUUAUUUUUUAAGUAACAUUUAUAUAUACACCCAAUUUUAGAAAGAUUAGAGUACCUAAAUUUUUUGUUUUAUUUUUAUUUUUUAAUACUUGUUCUAAGGAUUAAAUUCAUAUGUAUAAUUUUGUAUAUAAACAUAAAAGAAAAAAUAAUAUCACUACGGUUCAUUAGUUAUAUAAUAAAAACUUAAAACAAAUAAAUAAAUAUACACAUAUAUAUAUGUACGAAUCUAAAUAUUCUGUAGUAUUUUAUUUUCUUUUUUUCGUUUUUUUUUUUAAAAUAUUUUCUUAGAUUUACUCAUAUUAGUAAUAAAAAGUACUAAUAAUAUUCACAAACAAAUAGAAAAAUAUAGUUUAAGUUUAAUGUCGUCAACUCGACUUGAAUUUUUUUUUCAAGAAAAAAGAAUUGUUGAAGCAUGUUUCUCAAACAUUUUGGUCGCAUAAGUUUUCAAUUGAUGUCCAUUUACCUUGAACUUUUCUCUACCAUCUAUGUGUUGUAUUUCAAUUGCACCAUAAGGGGUAACAUUUGUAACAUUAUAGGGACUUGUCCACCUGGACUUUAAUUUUUCUGUAAUAGCCUAAGUCAGCUAUUGUAAAGAAAGGACAAGAUCUCCACUUUUGAAGCUUUUUUGUCUGAUCAAAUUGUCAUGCCACUUCUUUGUUUCUUCCUUGAAAAUUUUGGCAUUUUCAUAAGUUUCUAACUUUAAUUCUUCUAACUCAUUAACUAGAAAAAAUUUAUUUCUUCGAGCAAAGGUUAAUUCAAGAUUCAGUGCUUUGUAAUAAUCCAACCGAUCGCUUUGAGCAUUUGCGUUCCGUUCAGCUAUUUGAAGUCUUGAGCAGUAUUGUAUGAUGAAUUAUGACUUGUGUAAUCGUCGGUUUUGAUUUUCAAGUUAUUCGGAAUUGAUUUGGAAGAAUGAUUCUCAACUAAGAAGCCUUCAGUUGGAAGAGUUGACCAAGUUUGAGUUUUGAGCAUUUGACCACGGAUCAAAGUUUUGACGGUUCCGUUAGGUGCGGAUGGUGAUUUUGGACUCGGGCGUAUGCCCGUAUUUGCAUUUGGAUAUUUCUAGAAGGUUUCGGCACUACUUGGCAAAAGUUAAAAAUUUGAAGGUCAGAAAUAUUCAUAAAUUUGACCGAGAGUUGACUUUGAUGAUAUCGGAUUCAGAUUGUGUUUCCUGGAAUUGGAAUACCUUCGUUGUGUCAUUUGGGACUUGUGCGUAAAAUUUAAAUUUAUUCCGAGUUGAUUUGAUAUAUUUCGGUUCGAGUUUUGGAAGUUAAAAGAUUCAAAGUUCAUUAUGUUUAGUUUGAGGUGUGAUUCGUCGUUUCGAUAUUGUUAUGUAUGAUUUGAGGCUUGGAAUAAGUCUGUAUUAUAUUAUAGUACUUGUUGGUAUAUUUGGAUGUAGUCCGGAGAGGCUUUGGAUAAAAUACGCCAAGUGUAUCAAUCUUCUCUAUCAACGAUUUUUCUCUCUUUCUAUCUUUCAGUACCAAUCCGAAAUUCUUUCUCCCUCAACAAUCGCGAUUUCUCUCCAUGUUUUCAAGCACAAUUUUGUUCCUAAAUCAUGCUCUCUCACAUAUAGGUAAGGAGUUUUAGGUAGUUUUUGCUUAGUUCACUUUGAAUCUUUUAUUUCACAAUACUAAGCAAUUCAGUUUCAGCCAUUGUUAGGGUUUUGCAGAGAAAUAGAAUUUUUGAUGUUAAUGGCUGACUUAAGCGCUCCGAAGAGGGUAACUCGAGGUAUACCAACUACUGACCUCAAUUUUGAUGGGCCAUCUUUUGAUUUGCGCAUCACUCAAGACAAAGAUGUAUUUGCAGGCUCUCUUUCUGCCAUGGCAGCCGAGAAGCGAAGCAAACAAAGCAAUGACCCCAUGCAACCAUUGAAACAAGAUGAAGGUACAAAAUCUACUAAAAUAGCAUAGGUUGUUGAAGUUUCAAAAGUUUUCGUGCACACCACAAGUAUAGAAAAGAGGAGAAAAAUCAGUGAUGUCGCUUCGGGGAGUAAAGGAAAAACUUUAGCUAAAGGCGAGCAUUCAAAAUCAGUGAAGGAGAAG
Molecule: long non-coding RNA, 3460 nt
Filed under: Nicotiana tabacum (common tobacco)
Lineage: Eukaryota; Viridiplantae; Streptophyta; Magnoliopsida; Solanales; Solanaceae
Description: long non-coding RNA (NTAB_LNC001826)
Source: RNAcentral